CCCGGGUUCGAGCAAUUCUGCCUCAGCCUCCCGAGUAGCUGGAAUUACAGAUAUUGCAUAUUUUAAAGUGAAGAUUUGUGACAACCCCGUGUGAAGCAAGUCUAUCAGUGCCAUUUUUUCCAACAGCAUAUGCUUAUUUCAUGUCUCUGUGUCACAUAUUGGUAAUUCUCAUAGUAUUUCAAAACUAUGAGAAUUAUUAUUAUCUGUUCAUUAUUGUUAUCUGUUAUGGUGAUAUGUAAUUGGUGAUCUUUGAUGCUACCAUUGUAAUUGUUUGGGGGCACCAUGAACUAUACCUGUAUAAGAUGGUUAACUUAAUUGAUAACUACCAAUAAAUACUGUGUAUGUUCUGACUGUUA
Molecule: long non-coding RNA, 356 nt
Organism: Cebus imitator (Panamanian white-faced capuchin)
Lineage: Eukaryota; Metazoa; Chordata; Mammalia; Primates; Cebidae
Exons: 2
Source: RefSeq, a predicted model, not a curated record